This 71-nucleotide transfer RNA is filed under the name Amycolatopsis marina. It matches the Rfam family "tRNA". Rfam says of the family: Transfer RNA (tRNA) molecules are approximately 80 nucleotides in length. Their secondary structure includes four short double-helical elements and three loops (D, anti-codon, and T loops). Lineage: Bacteria; Bacillati; Actinomycetota; Actinomycetes; Pseudonocardiales; Pseudonocardiaceae. The record is from Rfam by way of RNAcentral.
GCCUGUAGCUCAGUUGGCCAGAGCGCCGCGCUACGAACGCGGAGGUCCAGAUUCGACUCCUGCCAGGGGCA